This 468-nucleotide ribosomal RNA is filed under the name uncultured bacterium. RNAcentral describes it as "partial 16S ribosomal RNA". It matches the Rfam family "Bacterial small subunit ribosomal RNA", at positions 28 to 507 of the family's 1533-position model. The record is from RNAcentral.
GACGAACGCUGGCGGCGUGCUUAACACAUGCAAGUCGAACGGAAAGGCCCUGCUUUUGUGGGGUGCUCGAGUGGCGAACGGGUGAGUAACACGUGAGUAACCUGCCCUUGACUUUGGGAUAACUUCAGGAAACUGGGGCUAAUACCGGAUAUGAGCUCCUGCUGCAUUGUGGGGGUUGGAAAGUUUCGGCGGUUGGGGAUGGACUCGCGGCUUAUCAGCUUGUUGGUGGGGUAGUGGCUUACCAAGGCUUUGACGGGUAGCCGGCCUGAGAGGGUGACCGGCAAAAUUGGGACUGAGAGACGGCCCAGACUCCAACGGGAGGCAGCAGUGGGGAAUAUUGCACAAUGGGCGGAAGCCUGAUGCAGCAACGCCGCGUGCGGGAUGACGGCCUUCGGGUUGUAAACCGCUUUCGCCUGUGACGAAGCGUGAGUGACGGUAAUGGGUAAAGAAGCACCGGCUAACUACGUG